Molecule: ribosomal RNA, 253 nt
Filed under: uncultured bacterium
Lineage: Bacteria
Description: partial 16S ribosomal RNA
Rfam family: Bacterial small subunit ribosomal RNA
Source: RNAcentral
UACGUAGGGGGCUAGCGUUGUCCGGAAUCAUUGGGCGUAAAGCGCGUGUAGGCGGUCCGGUAAGUCCGCUGUGAAAGCCGGGGGCUCAACCCUCGAAUGCCGGUGGAUACUGUCGGGCUAGAGUGCGGAAGAGGCGAGUGGAAUUCCUGGUGUAGCGGUGAAAUGCGCAGAUAUCAGGAGGAACACCAAUUGCGAAGGCAGCUCGCUGGGACGUUACUGACGCUGAGACGCGAAAGCGUGGGGAGCAAACAGG